GACGAACGCUGGCGGCGUGCUUAACACAUGCAAGUCGAACGGAAAGGCCUCUUUCGGGGGGUACUCGAGUGGCGAACGGGUGAGUAACACGUGAGUAACCUGCCCUUGACUUUGGGAUAACUUCAGGAAACUGGGGCUAAUACCGGAUAGGAGCUCCUGCUGCAUGGUGGGGGUUGGAAAGUUUCGGCGGUUGGGGAUGGACUCGCGGCUUAUCAGCUUGUUGGUGGGGUAGUGGCUUACCAAGGCUUUGACGGGUAGCCGGCCUGAGAGGGUGACCGGCCACAGUGGGACUGAGAUACGGCCCAGACGCCUGCGGGAGGCAGCAGUGGGGAAUAUUGCACAAUGGGUGGAAGCCUGAUGCAGCAACGCCGUGUGCGGGAUGACGGCCUUCGGGUUGUAAACCGCUUUCGCUCAUGACGAAGCUUUGUGUGACGGUAGUGGGUAAAGAAGCACCGGCUAACUACGUG
RNAcentral lists this ribosomal RNA (467 nucleotides) under uncultured bacterium. Its description in RNAcentral is "partial 16S ribosomal RNA". It matches the Rfam family "Bacterial small subunit ribosomal RNA", at positions 28 to 507 of the family's 1533-position model. The record is from RNAcentral.